RNAcentral lists this long non-coding RNA (1034 nucleotides) under Homo sapiens (human). RNAcentral's name for it is "non-protein coding lnc-ACHE-4:1". Lineage: Eukaryota; Metazoa; Chordata; Mammalia; Primates; Hominidae. The record is from RNAcentral.
GGUGGUCUCAGAUGUAGGUGUAGACCUGCUGAUGGUAGUGGGGAGUGUGGUCACCAAGGUGGAUAGGGGGGUGGUGUUUGUGAUACCACUGGUGAUUGUUUCUGUGCUCAGGACAGGUGUGGAAGAUAAAAUGGUCCUAGUGGGUGAUGACAAUGUAUUAGUGGCUGUGGGCUGGGAGGCGGUCGUUGUCAUAGAAGUCACUGUAUUUGUGGAAGUGAUUGAAGAAGUGAUGGGGGAAGUGGAAGUCACUGCUGUUUUGAGAGUAGUAAAUACUGGGGUUGGGGACGUGGUUGUAUGGAUGCUUCCAGUGGGCAGGGGAGUCCUUUCUGUGGUUCUAGUUGUAGACGAGAUUGUAGUGUGGAAGGUUGUGUCUGUGGCUGACACAGAGGAGGGUGUCACUGUCACUAUGGGAGUUUCCCUUGCAGUGGUGGUAGAGGGAGAAGAUGUCAUGGCUGACGUUCCUUUCUCAGUAGUGGUCAUAGAGUAAGUACUGGUGACGGUGGUCACUGGCUUCUGUGUCACGGGAGUCGAGGUGUAAGAGCUGGUGAAGGCCACCUGCGUCGUGGUCACACAGAUGGAGGUGGGGUGGGAGAUGGUGAUUAUAAAGCUCGUUGGAUACACGCACUCAGUGGUGGCUGAAUAGACCAACACGGUGGGUGGAGUGGUUUCAACCUUGAAGGCAAACUUGGACGUCGGGGUGGUUGAGGUGUUGGAACUGACUGGAGAGUUGAGCAAUGUUUCAGAGAUGAGUGUGUCAUGGGGGGAGGUAGUGAGUGUCAUAGGUGCAUUUUCCCUGUGGCCAGGAGCAGGAGAGGCGAGCUGGGGGACACCAAGUGGCCACCCAGCCAGGUCUCUGGAGUGUGGAGAAUUGCUGAGCACAGCGCUGGCUGCUUCUGCUCUGGGGAAAGGCACUUGAGAGAUGGAUGUGGCCGUGGAUAAAGUUCCUGUGGCCCACGGGGAGGCCUUGAGCAUCCAGAGGAGGCCGAGGAGCCCCAACAGCUGCAUGGGCCCAGCGGGCAGGGGGCUGGGGCAGA